RNAcentral lists this ribosomal RNA (516 nucleotides) under uncultured bacterium. Its description in RNAcentral is "bacterial SSU rRNA". It matches the Rfam family "Bacterial small subunit ribosomal RNA", at positions 8 to 518 of the family's 1533-position model. The record is from RNAcentral.
AGAGUUGAUAUGGCUCAGGAUGAACGCUAGCGGCAGGCUUAACACAUGCAAGUCGAGGGGCAGCGGGAUGUAGCAAUACAUUGCCGGCGACCGGCGGAUGGGUGCGUAACGCGUAUGCAACCUACCUUAUACAGGGGAAUAACCUUUCGAAAGGGAGACUAACACCCCAUGGUAUUGAUUUAAGGCAUCUUAGAUUAAUUAAAUAUUUAUAGGUAUAAGGAUGGGCAUGCGUAUGAUUAGCUAGUUGGUAAGGUAACGGCUCACCAAGGCGACGAUCAUUAGGGGUUCUGAGAGGAAGGUCCCCCACACUGGUACUGAGACACGGACCAGACUCCUACGGGAGGCAGCAGUGAGGAAUAUUGGUCAAUGGGCGCAAGCCUGAACCAGCCAUGCCGCGUGCAGGAAGACGGCCUUAUGGGUUGUAAACUGCUUUUACAUAAGACUAACCGUAUAUUUGCGAAUAUACCUGAAUGUAUUAUGAGAAUAAGGAUCGGCUAACUCCGUGCCAGCAGCGGC